Molecule: ribosomal RNA, 549 nt
Filed under: uncultured bacterium
Lineage: Bacteria
Description: bacterial SSU rRNA
Rfam family: Bacterial small subunit ribosomal RNA
Source: RNAcentral
UAGGGAAUCUUCGGCAAUGGACGGAANUUUGGACCGAGCAACGCCNCGUGAGUGAAGAAGGUUUUCGGAUCGUAAAGCUCUGUUGUAAGAGAAGAACGAGUGUGAGAGUGGAAAGUUCACACUGUGACGGUAUCUUACCAGAAAGGGACGGCUAACUACGUGCCAGCAGCCGCGGUAAUACGUAGGUCCCGAGCGUUGUCCGGAUUUAUUGGGCGUAAAGCGAGCGCAGGCGGUUAGAUAAGUCUGAAGUUAAAGGCUGUGGCUUAACCAUAGUAGGCUUUGGAAACUGUUUAACUUGAGUGCAAGAGGGGAGAGUGGAAUUCCAUGUGUAGCGGUGAAAUGCGUAGAUAUAUGGAGGAACACCGGUGGCGAAAGCGGCUCUCUGGCUUGUAACUGACGCUGAGGCUCGAAAGCGUGGGGAGCAAACAGGAUUAGAUACCCUGGUAGUCCACGCUGUAAACGAUGAGUGCUAGGUGUUAGACCCUUUCCGGGGUUUAGUGCCGUAGCUAACGCAUUAAGCACUCCGCCUGGGAGUACGACCGCAAGUUG